This 420-nucleotide ribosomal RNA is filed under the name uncultured bacterium. RNAcentral describes it as "partial 16S ribosomal RNA". It matches the Rfam family "Bacterial small subunit ribosomal RNA", at positions 361 to 773 of the family's 1533-position model. The record is from RNAcentral.
AUAUUUGUCAAUUGGGGCCACCCUGAUCCAGCCCUGCCGCGGGUGUGAAGAAGGUCCUCGGAUUGUAAAGCACUUUAAGUUGGGGGGAAGGGCCUUAGGUUAAUACCCUGAAGUUUUGACGUUACCAACAGAAUAAGCACCCGCUAACUCCUCUCCCGCAGCCGCGGUAAUACAGGGGGUGCAAGCGUUAAUCGGAAUUACUGGGCGUAAAGCGCGCGUAGGUGGUUCAGUAAGAUGGGUGUGAAAUCCCCGGGCUUAACCUGGGAACUGCUUUCAUAACUGCUGAGCUAGAGUACGGUAGAGGGUAGUGGAAUUUCCUGUGUAGCGGUGAAAUGCGUAGAUAUAGGAAGGAACACCAGUGGCGAAGGCGACUACCUGGACUGAUACUGACACUGAGGUGCGAAAGCGUGGGGGGCAAAC